Molecule: unclassified non-coding RNA, 1359 nt
Filed under: uncultured Neocallimastigales
Lineage: Eukaryota; Fungi; Neocallimastigomycota; Neocallimastigomycetes; Neocallimastigales
Description: partial contains internal transcribed spacer 1, 5.8S ribosomal RNA, internal transcribed spacer 2, and large subunit ribosomal RNA
Rfam family: Eukaryotic large subunit ribosomal RNA (bases 595-1359)
Source: RNAcentral
AAAAUAAUCCUACCCUUUGUGAAUUUUGUUUGUUUGAAUAAUUUUUUUUUUUAAAAAAUUAUUGGAGUCUUUCCCUUUAGAGUUUGCUUUUGAGUUUGUAAAAGAAUUCGAAAACAUCUAAAGGGGAUGGUCAAUAAUUUUUUUUGAAAAAAGACAUUUUUUAAAAUUAAACUUUUUGUAUUCAUUUGUCUAAAAAUUAUUUUUAUAAUAUAAAAACAACUUUUGACAAUGGAUCUCUUGGUUCUCGCAACGAUGAAGAACGCAGCAAAAUGCGAUAAGUAGUGUGAAUUGCAGAAUACGUGAAUCAUCGAAUCUUUGAACGCAUAUUGCACUUUUUUAGUUUACUAAAAAAGUAUGUCUGUUUGAGUAUCAGUAAAAUAUUCUCAUAAAAAUCAUUGUAUUUUUAUGGUUAUGAGUGUUUUACAACGAUACAAGUUGUUUCACUUUAAAUUUUUUUUUAAUAUUGAAAUUUUUCUAAUUUUAAUAAUUAAAAUUGGAUAAAAUUUUCCCGUCAAAAGGAAUAACCUAAACAAUUUUAAAUGAUUAAUUUUAGCAAGAUUUUCGUAAAAAAGGAAAAUUUUUAUUAAAAUAACUUGAUCUCAAAUCAGAUAAGAGUACCCGCUGAACUUAAGCAUAUCAAUAAGCGGAGGAAAAGAAACUAACAAGGAUUCCCUUAGUAACGGCGAGUGAAGCGGGAAGAGCUCAAAUUUGAAAUCUUCAAGGUUUUACCUUGACGAAUUGUAGUUUAAAGAAGUGUUUUCUGCUGAAGUUUUGGUAAAAGUUCUUUGGAAUAGGACAUCAUAGAGGGUGAGAAUCCCGUAUUUGACCAUUAUUUUCAGCUUUGUGAUACACUUUCAAAGAGUCGGAUUGUUUGGGAAUGCAGUCCAAAAUGGGUGGUAAAUUUCAUCUAAAGCUAAAUAUUGGCGAGAGACCGAUAGCGAACAAGUACCGUGAGGGAAAGAUGAAAAGAACUUUGAAAAGAGAGUUAAACAGUACGUGAAAUUGUCAAAAGGGAAGCGUUUGACACCAGUGUUGUUUUCUCGAAAAUCAAUUAAAAAUGGCUCGAUUUUGUAUUGCUGAGACCUUAAAAGCUCACUGUACAUUUUUCGUGUCUUUUUUAAUGCACUUUUCGUUUAACAAGUCAACAUCAGUUUCUUUUGUUGUAAAAGGGUCAUUGGAAGGUGGCUUUCUUUUCGGAGAAAGUGUUUAUAGCCUUUGGCCUCUGCAAUCGGAGAGACUGAGGUCUGCAGCGUAGACUCUUCGGGGUUAGAUACAUUUGUGCUAAGUUAUAGCUUUUUAUAGACAACUUGUUGACUAUAAUUAGUCUUGUAGCUUACUCGCUUAUGCUAUUUUACCUAC